Molecule: long non-coding RNA, 286 nt
Filed under: Eucalyptus grandis
Lineage: Eukaryota; Viridiplantae; Streptophyta; Magnoliopsida; Myrtales; Myrtaceae
Description: long non-coding RNA (EGRA_LNC003819)
Source: RNAcentral
UUUCUUUACGGUUUCGAUAAUCGCCAUCGACGCUCCCCCCCGCCUGUCCCCCCGAGGCGGCCUUCCGGGGUUCGACCACGUGGUUGAUGCGAGCUUCGGUGGGCGGGGUGGGAAAGCUGCGGGACGAGAGCCGCCGUACGUGGCGCCAAAAGCCAGCACGCCGUUCGGCGGAAGCGCCGUCGUGAUGUCGCCGUCCCCAGGAACACUCCAAUCCCCCAAGUCGCGGGUCGAUUAAAUUUUCUGCGACGCGACGCGACGGGACAGCUCGGCCCGUCGUACGCUCUCC